GUGUGCAUUGUGUGUGCAAGGCAUGUCCACAAGAGUGUGCAUUGCACCUACACGUGAGCAACCAUGUGCGCACCCCUGCCUUGCACCCAUGCCCCACCACCCCCCCCGUGUUGCACGACGCCGUGCUCACACCUGUUGCACACCCACCACCAACGUGACCCCCACACUCACACUCACCACACCUCUCCUGCUGCUCUGCACGGGGAUGGGGAUGGUCCCAGUAAUGGUGACAAUCCCACUAAUGGUGAUGGUGAUAAUGGUGACAGUCCCAGUAAUGGUGACAGUGGUAACGGUGAGAGCCUCACUAAUGGUGACACAAUAAUGGUGACAAUCCCAGAAACGGUGAUGGUGGUAACGGUGACAGUCCCAGUAAUGGUGACAGUCCCAGUAAUGGUGACACAAUAAUGGUGACAAUCCCAGUAACGGUGAAGGUGAUAAUGGUGAGAGUCUCAGUAAUGGUGACAAUCCCAGUAACGGUGGCACAAUAAUGGUGACAAUCCCAGUGACGGUGAAGGUGAUAAUGGUGACAGUCCCAGUAAUGGUGACAAUCCCAGUGACGGUGACAGUGGUAAUGGUGACAGUCUCAGUAAUGGUGACACAAUAACGGUGACAGUCCCAGUAAUGGUGACAAUCCCAGUAAUGGUGACAGUCUUAGUGAUGGUGACGCAAUAAUGGUGACAACCUCAGAAAUGGUGACAAUCCCGGUAAUGGUGAAGGUGAUAACGGUGACAAUCCCAGUAAUGGUGACAAGCGCAGAAAUGGUGACAGUCCCAGUAAUGGUGACACAAUAAGGGUGACAACCUCAGAAAUGGUGACAAUCUCAGUAAUGGCGACACAAUAAUGGUGACAAUCCCAGUAAUGGUGACAGUGGUAAUGGUGACAAUCCCAGUAAUGGUGACGCAAAAUUGGUGACAGCAAUCCCAGAAACGGUGACAGCAGUGAUGGUGAUAGCGGUGACAGUGGUGAAAGUGACAAUCCCGGUGACGGUGACGAUCCUGGUGAACUUAACAAUGGGAGCGGUGAUAAUCCUGGUGACGGGGACGGGGACGGCGGGAACGGUGACAAACCCAGUAAUGGUGACAAUCCCGGUGACAGUGACAAUCCCAGUGAUGGUGACAGCCCCAGUGACGGUGACACCAGUAAUGGUGACAAACCCAGCAAUGGUGACAAUCCCAGUGAGUGACAGCCCCAGUGACGGUGACAGUGGUAAUGGUGACAAACCCAGUAAUGGUGACAAUCCCAGCAACGGUGACAAACCUAGCAGCGGUGACAAUCCUGGUGACAGUGACAAUCCCAGGAAUGGUGACAGCCCCAGUGACAGUGACAGCGGUAAUGGUGACAAACUCAGCAAUGUGACAAUCCCAGUGAUGGUGACAGUGACAAUCCCAGUGACAAACCUAGCAACAGUGACAAUCCCAGUGACAGUGACAAACCCAGCAGCGGUGACAAUCCCGGUGACAGUGACAGCCCCAGUGACGGUGACAGCGGUGACGGUGACAAUCCUGGUGACAGCGGCAAUCCCAGGAACGGUGACAGUGACAAUCCCAGUGAUGGUGACAGCCCCAGGGACAGUGACAGCGGUAACGGUGACAAACCCAGUGAUGGUGACAGUGACAAUCCCAGUGACAAACCUAGCAGCGGUGACAAUCCCGGUGACAGCGGCAAUCCCAGUGACGGUGACAAUCCCGGUGACGGUGACGGCAGGAACGGUGACAAACCCAGCAAUGUGA
RNAcentral lists this long non-coding RNA (1730 nucleotides) under Numida meleagris (helmeted guineafowl). RNAcentral's name for it is "lncRNA (ENSNMEG00000002710.1)". Lineage: Eukaryota; Metazoa; Chordata; Aves; Galliformes; Numididae. The record is from RNAcentral.